Picea glauca (white spruce) is the source of this 122-nucleotide non-coding RNA. The record is from Rfam. NCBI's taxonomy places the organism in Eukaryota, Viridiplantae, Streptophyta, Pinopsida, Pinales, Pinaceae.
GGGUGCGAUCAUACCAGCAUUAAUGCACCGGAUCCCAUCAGAACUCCGUAGUUAAGCGCGCUUGGGCUAGAGUAGUACUGGGCCCGGUGAUGCCCGUUGAAGAGGGGGAGGGGGCGUGAUCC